RNAcentral lists this unclassified non-coding RNA (2531 nucleotides) under Hevea brasiliensis (rubber tree). Lineage: Eukaryota; Viridiplantae; Streptophyta; Magnoliopsida; Malpighiales; Euphorbiaceae. The record is from RNAcentral.
GAAACAAAUUCUCAAAUUUUAUUAACUGUCAACGAUAAUAUCAUAAUAAGCUCUCUCAAAAUAAGGAGGAUGUAGGUAUUUAUAGUAAGUCAACUAGUUCUAUUACUAUUAGGAUUAGGAGUCCUAACAACAACAACAACAUUAACAAUUAAGCGUUAAUCCCAAAUUAGUUGGAGUCGGCUAUUUGGAUCCUUUUCUACCUUCGGCUAUAUGGAUUUUUUUUCACCUUUUAGCUAGGAUUAGGAAUUCUAAAAUAAGAAAAUAUAAAUCAAUACUAAUUAGGAAUACUAAACCAAUACUUAGUAGGAAUACUAAAUAAACUCAAAAUUUCUAAAUAAAAUAAAAUACCUCUUAAUUAAAUUAAUAUAAAAUUCCUAAUUUUACAUGAAAAAUUAUAUUAACAUAAUUGCUAAAUCGAGUCCGAUUGGAUUGUAUCAUUCUCCCCUAGUUGGAGAAAACUUGAACUUGAGUGUUGUAAUGCUUAAGAAUCAAGAACUGGAUUUGGAGAAUAAGCAACUCUAUCUUCUUGGAUGGUAGCAACGAGCUUGAAACCAAAAAACUUAAUGCCUUUGCAUCUCUGGAAACAUCAAAACAUAGAAAAUCAGUCACAACUACAACAGAAAGACCCUUCAAUUCAGUAGGAACAAGGAAAUUUAAAAAAAUCUUCAAUUUCCAUUGUCAUUUGCUUGGCUUGAUUUUCUUCAAUUUUCAUUGAAUUAUUCUCUAUGGCUUGAUUGUCUUCAUUCCCUAGGAGAGAUUCCUCAAACUUGUUGUACUCAUUCUUAUCAGUUUCUUUUUCUGGAAUAGGUUCUUCAACAUGUCAAGCUUCAGAUUCUUCAAACUCAGGAUUUUCAAGCUGCUGUUUGCGUUGCUUUUAUAUCUUCAACAGCUCUUGAUAUUGCAUCCAAUUGUGCUUUCAGUUGAAAUAAAUAUUCUUACUUCCAUGCUUUAAGUUCCCUUUCCCCAACUCGUAAAAUUUGUUUGAUAUCUUGAUAUUUAUAAUAUAAGUAAUGAUACAAGUCACAAACAAUAUUUAGCACCUCCAUUUUUAUCUAUCUAACAAUAUAAAUAAACCAAUCGGGCCUUGUAGUCAUCGAUUUCAUCUUGUAGUCUUUCAAUGUCAGUCCAUAACACAAGUCUCACUAAAAACAUAAUUCAAAACUCUUAUUAGUCUUAAAUAUUCAUUUCUGACAAAUAGAUGCCAAAAUCGAAACCAACACGUCAAAAUUAGCAAGAACGUGUCAGCUUAAAAUUUUUUUUGCUAAUGUGGCAGCAAUGGAUAAUGUGGCAAUGACGUGGUGUGUUAUGACAGGCAAUGUGGCAUCUUGCGUGGCAAUGAUGAGGCGAGGCAAGAUCAAGUGCAAAUAAGCACACAACAAUGACGUGAAAUCAGUGGAGAUUAUAGGCAAGUCUGAAUCGAUUCAAUCGAAACUCACUGUGAGGGCCUCAUAAUGGAAUCCCGACAACAUGAAGGAGGUGAUCAACGGCCGGUGAAGCUUGAGGAAGGUCCAAACAUUGAAAUCAAUUCUGUUUUUGGCAGGUCACAAUUUGGGUCAAGAUUUGACUCGAACGGAUCCUAGCUUUUGGGCCACUCUAGGCAGCCAGAAGGCAUUAGAAAGGUUGCCCAGCCACGGGCAAUGGAAUUGCUGCUGGUGGCAUGACUGUCAGGUGAAGGGAAUGUGGUGGUGGGUGUGCAAGGACAGUAGCAGGGUGCAAGAAGGCGAAUUUUUUUUUUCAAACAGUAAACCAAGGAAAAUUUAUCGAAGGAAGCUAAAACACAAGUUGGAUUUUUGAACUUUGACACCAAAUUGAUGUAUAAUCAAUAGAAGAAGAGAAACAAAUUCUCAGAAAGGAAUGAGAAACAAUUUCUCAACUUUUAUUAAUUCUCAAAUUAAUUGUCAAUUUCAAUAAUCUCUACAAAAAUACCUAGAAGACGUAGGUAUUUACAGUAGGAUUGCCUACUAGUACUAGGAUUUCAAAUCCUAAACAAGAAAAUACUAAGCAAAUUCUAAUUAGGAAUUCCAAACCAGCAUAAUUGCCUAAAUAAAUAGAAUACCCAAAAUAGGUAGUCCUAGUAUUUAAAUUGAAUCUAUCCUCUAUGUUAUUAUGACUUAUGGGCUAUUGUGUUACAUGUUCCCUCAUGGCAAGACAUCACGAUGAGGUCCAAUUAAAAGAGUCCUACUUGAGAGAAGCAGUUGAAUGAAUAGACAAAGCACAAAUUUCUACUGGAUUAAGUCUACUCUAGUGGACACUGCAGCACACUUCAUACUGAAUCAUUCUCUUUCAACUUAUGCAACAAUAUUGAUACCCAUACCAACAGUAAAUUUGAGAUGCUAUGAACUCAAGAUUGAAGAAUAGACAGUCUGGUCCUGCAACAAGGAGUUGGACUACUGGAAAAGUUUUCUCCUUUGUCAAAAGUGAUUCAGAACUCUGCCAGAGAAUGAUUAUCACCCUGGAUGGCUAGAAACUGACCACUUAAUUUCCCAGCCCACUGAAUUUUUUUUUCCCCUAUGCACAAAGUGCCCAAAUAU